UACGUAGGGGGCAAGCGUUGUCCGGAUUUAUUGGGCGUAAAGAGCGUGUAGGCGGCUAGGUAGGUCCGUUGUGAAAACUCGAGGCUCAACCUCGAGACGCCGAUGGAAACCAUCUAGCUAGAGUCCGGAAGAGGAGAGUGGAAUUCCUGGCGUAGCGGUGAAAUGCGCAGAUAUCAGGAAGAACACCCGUGGCUAAGGCGGCUCUCUAGUACGGUACUGACGCUGAGACGCGAAAGCGUGGGGAGCGAACAGG
RNAcentral lists this ribosomal RNA (253 nucleotides) under uncultured bacterium. RNAcentral describes it as "partial 16S ribosomal RNA". It matches the Rfam family "Bacterial small subunit ribosomal RNA", at positions 524 to 776 of the family's 1533-position model. The record is from RNAcentral.